RNAcentral lists this long non-coding RNA (881 nucleotides) under Homo sapiens (human). RNAcentral's name for it is "HSALNT0293992". The record is from RNAcentral. Lineage: Eukaryota; Metazoa; Chordata; Mammalia; Primates; Hominidae.
UUGAUAGAGAAGGGACAGGGAACAGAACCUUCGCCCCCCGCCUGAGCAGCUGGUAGACUAGAUAUCUUCCAAACAUUAUCUCAUUUACUUCCCUGGAGUUACAAAUAGGUAGAUUUCAUGUCCGUUGAGGGGUGAGAAAGCUGAAACUUUGAGACUUAAGAAUCCUGGCCGAGGUCAGCCUCCUCCGAAGCUUCAUCUCUUGCCACCACUUUCUGGUGCACACCUAGGACAGAUUUCAAUCCCUGAGAUCCCAGGAUGAAACCUAUGUUUGCCAAAUACCAGCUACUGUGCCAGAAGAGAUCAUGGAACCAGGUGUGGAAAGCUGCUUGAGAAGAGGAGCCAAAACAUCAUAGUUGAACCGUCCUGGAAUAGAAACUCGCCCUGAAUUCUUUCUUGUGUGAAAUCCAAGAGCCCUCUCUUGGGGUUGGAUCGGGACCCUGUUCCUGUAACAAGUCCACAAUGCCAGAGAAUUAAAGAGAACCACAAAGCUGAACCUCAAAAAGUUAGCCUGGCGAGGGGAGGAUGAUGAGAUUUCCCCUGUUGUCACAUAAACAAGGAAGUAAAGGGGGCCCCUUGUGCUCUCAGAACUCCAAGCAUGAAACGAUUUCCUGUUAUCGUGCUUUGAGGUGCACUGAACUGCAGCAAACCCAGGGGAUCCAAGGCUACGUUGAAAAGCCUUUGACCACAGUGCAGGGAGCAGAAGACAUUAAUGACGUGAUGUCGACACAGCCCGCACUCAGGAUCCUCCAGGAAAAGAACACAGAGAUAACCCCGGAUCGAUGGUACUUUUUGAAAAUGCUUUAUUGCAAAAGAGUGGCUAGGGUUUUACAAGGGCUAUGAAGAAACAUAUUAAGGUUAAUAAAGCUUUUUAUUGAGUGUUU